RNAcentral lists this long non-coding RNA (1153 nucleotides) under Triticum aestivum (bread wheat). Its description in RNAcentral is "long non-coding RNA (TAES_LNC016209)". The record is from RNAcentral. Lineage: Eukaryota; Viridiplantae; Streptophyta; Magnoliopsida; Poales; Poaceae.
CAGCCUGUAGAAGCACACAAAGCUUAAUUAGCCAGCUAAAAUGGUUUCCAAGUCUCUGGCCUUCGUGUGCGUCAUCUUCGCCUUCCUCGUCAUCGUCUCGCAAGGCGUGGUUGCUGCUAGGGAUCUCACCCAUGGUAAUGUUUCUUUCACUGAAUUAAUAUCUACUCCCUCCGUUUCAAAAUAGAUGACUCAACUUUGUACUAACUUUAGUAUAAAGUUAAUAUAAAGUUGGGUCAUCUAUUUUAUAACGGAGGAAGUACCUUGUUUAUUUGUAUUUCUGUGUUCCUUCUGUGGCAACUGCAGAGGAGCUUGAUUGUAUGGCUAAGAUUGGGCUGGGUGUGCAGUAAAUUCUCCAUGGAGGGAGUAAAUCUACAUGCCAUGGUUAUUUCUAAUGAUGUUGCCUUACCUUGGCUGCAGUUAACAGAGCAGGAGGUAACAAUUAUGGUGGUGGCUGGUCGGGCUCGUAUGGAGGGCGACGCCCAUGACGGAUGCUCUUCGUGGGAAUCCGGCAAAUAAAUGCAGUUCCGGCUUGCUUUUGCAGAUCAUUCAUGUGUAUGGUAUACUAUAUGGUAUAUAUAGUUUCUGUGUACAAGCUAGCUAGGUAUAUAUGUGCCCUGUGUACUCAAGAUGAACUUGAAUGAAAUGUAUCGACUGCUCUGGUGGUUAACGAUCAUUUUCUGACGAAGGGGCUGCGCCGAGCCUGUGCCUUCACUCCAACUCAUCCGGUUUGCCCAAACUGUUUCUCGAAAGUGGGACUCUGCUGGAUUUUGUCUUGCAGCAAAAGGGAGCAGGUAUCUAAAUAUAGCCUGAACAGAAAAUACAUCUUUUUCUAUUCUCUUUAAGAUCCGGAAUUCAUUUCUGGUUUUAACCAGACCAUACAAAAUGGGUGACCCAAGGGGUCGGUCGGCUGGCAAAACGCCUGAAUUGGUCGCCUUCCGCAUCGUAGGACGGGCAACGAUAGCCGUUCGAUGAAGUCCAACUUUCUCACGCGAGUCAUUUUUCUUAUCACGCGCACAGAUCACACCCGAAAAAGAAAAGGUCAGCCUACGAGCAGCUCCCGGCGCCCGACACCAGCCCCCGUCUCUGGAUACAUCGUCGCUGUUAGCCAUAAGCCAUGUGUGCGUGCACGACCGUGGCGCGUCUGUGCGCGUGU